UAAGGAAUAUUGGUCAAUGGACGCAAGUCUGAACCAGCCAUGCCGCGUGAAGGAUGAAGGUCCUCUGGAUUGUAAACUUCUUUUAUCUGGGACGAAAACGGGAUUUUUAUCUCAAUUGACGGUACCAGAGGAAUAAGCACCGGCUAACUCCGUGCCAGCAGCCGCGGUAAUACGGAGGGUGCGAGCGUUAUCCGGAUUUACUGGGUUUAAAGGGUGCGUAGGUGGGCUUAUCAGUCAGUGGUGAAAUCUCCGAGCUUAACUUGGAAACUGCCGUUGAUACUAUAGGUCUUGAAUUAUCUGGAGGUAAGCGGAAUAUGUCAUGUAGCGGUGAAAUGCUUAGAUAUGACAUAGAACACCAAUUGCGAAGGCAGCUUACUACAUAUAAAUUGACGCUGAGGCACGAAAGCGUGGGGAUCAAACA
This 421-nucleotide ribosomal RNA is filed under the name uncultured bacterium. RNAcentral's name for it is "bacterial SSU rRNA". It matches the Rfam family "Bacterial small subunit ribosomal RNA", at positions 355 to 774 of the family's 1533-position model. The record is from RNAcentral.